Molecule: ribosomal RNA, 562 nt
Filed under: uncultured bacterium
Lineage: Bacteria
Description: partial 16S ribosomal RNA
Rfam family: Bacterial small subunit ribosomal RNA
Source: RNAcentral
UGGGGAAUAUUGGACAAUGGGCGCAAGCCUGAUCCAGCCAUGCCGCGUGAGUGAUGAAGGCCCUAGGGUUGUAAAGCUCUUUCACCGGUGAAGAUAAUGACGGUAACCGGAGAAGAAGCCCCGGCUAACUUCGUGCCAGCAGCCGCGGUAAUACGAAGGGGGCUAGCGUUGUUCGGAAUUACUGGGCGUAAAGCGCACGUAGGCGGACAUUUAAGUCAGGGGUGAAAUCCCGGGGCUCAACCCCGGAACUGCCUUUGAUACUGGGUGUCUAGAGUUCGAGAGAGGCGAGUGGAAUUCCGAGUGUAGAGGUGAAAUUCGUAGAUAUUCGGAGGAACACCAGUGGCGAAGGCGGCUCACUGGCUCGAUACUGACGCUGAGGUGCGAAAGCGUGGGGAGCAAAACAGGAUUAGAUACCCUGGUAGUCCACGCCGUAAACGAUGGAAGCCAGCUGUCGGCAAGUUUACUUGUCGGUGGCGCAGCUAACGCAUUAAGCUUCCCGCCUGGGGAGUACGGUCGCAAGAUUAAAACUCAAAGGAAUUGACGGGGUCAUAGCUGUUUCCUG